This 623-nucleotide long non-coding RNA is filed under the name Salmo salar (Atlantic salmon). RNAcentral's name for it is "lncRNA (ENSSSAG00000121414.1)". Lineage: Eukaryota; Metazoa; Chordata; Actinopteri; Salmoniformes; Salmonidae. The record is from RNAcentral.
GACAGGCGUAGGGUCGGGGACAGGCGUAGGGUCGGGGACAGGCGUAGGGUCGGGGACAGGUGUAGGGUCGGAGACUAGUUUGAGUGUGUCUUCAGCUAGGGUAAACUAAAGUGAAUCUCUUAUGUGGGGUAUGGAGUGGCAGGGCAGCUUCCAGGCUUUUUCAGGGCUGGACCGGCAGCUUUUCCUCGUGCAGAUGGAGAGACUAAACACAGCAGGGGUCUCUGAUGCUGCAGUACUGAGGGCCUGGCAGCUGCUGAGACCCACAUGGGGAGGGGGGGCUUGGCCGUAGGCCUGGGAGGAGCCCAUCAUCCACAACCCACUGAUCCCUUUGAGGUCCCGUUUUCUCCCUUUCUCCCUCUCCAUCUCUCUCCUCACUCUCUGCUCUGGAUUGGGAAGGCAGCAUCGAUUGUAUCAUUAGUUUCCUCUGCGGACAGAGACACAACACGGCUCGACUGUUCUUUAUGUGGAGCUUUGUCGAGCAGAGUGUUGAACUAACUAACGCAGAGCAGAUGAGAGAGAGAUUUCACCUUCAGUAUGACUAAAGACCCCCAGGCAAUGAGGUCAGGGGGACAUCAUCAGGGGAGAACAGGGGAGUCCAGGGGGAGGUCAAGGGGACAUCAGGG